GUAAUCGCGAAUCAGAAUGUCGCGGUGAAUACGUUCCCGGGUCUUGUACACACCGCCCGUCACACCAUGGGAGUCGGAAAUGCCCGAAGUCAGUGACCCAACCGUAAGGAGGGAGCUGCCGAAGGUGGAGCCGGUAACUGGGGUGAAGUCGUAACAAGGUAUC
This 163-nucleotide ribosomal RNA is filed under the name uncultured bacterium. Its description in RNAcentral is "partial 16S ribosomal RNA". It matches the Rfam family "Bacterial small subunit ribosomal RNA", at positions 1338 to 1500 of the family's 1533-position model. The record is from RNAcentral.